AAUUCGAGCGGACCGACGGGGAGCUUGCUCCCUUAGGUCAGCGGCGGACGGGUGAGUAACACGUGGGUAACCUGCCUGUAAGACUGGGAUAACUCCGGGAAACCGGGGCUAAUACCGGAUGCUUGAUUGAACCGCAUGGUUCAAUCAUAAAAGGUGGCUUUUAGCUACCACUUACAGAUGGACCCGCGGCGCAUUAGCUAGUUGGUGAGGUAACGGCUCACCAAGGCGACGAUGCGUAGCCGACCUGAGAGGGUGAUCGGCCACACUGGGACUGAGACACGGCCCAGACUCCUACGGGAGGCAGCAGUAGGGAAUCUUCCGCAAUGGACGAAAGUCUGACGGAGCAACGCCGCGUGAGUGAUGAAGGUUUUCGGAUCGUAAAACUCUGUUGUUAGGGAAGAACAAGUACCGUUCGAAUAGGGCGGUACCUUGACGGUACCUAACCAGAAAGCCACGGCUAACUACGUGCCAGCAGCCGCGGUAAUACGUAGGUGGCAAGCGUUGUCCGGAAUUAUUGGGCGUAAAGCGCGCGCAGGCGGUUUCUUAAGUCUGAUGUGAAAGCCCCCGGCUCAACCGGGGAGGGUCAUUGGAAACUGGGGAACUUGAGUGCAGAAGAGGAGAGUGGAAUUCCACGUGUAGCGGUGAAAUGCUUAGAGAUG
RNAcentral lists this ribosomal RNA (659 nucleotides) under Bacillus sp. (in: firmicutes). RNAcentral describes it as "bacterial SSU rRNA". It matches the Rfam family "Bacterial small subunit ribosomal RNA", at positions 59 to 698 of the family's 1533-position model. Lineage: Bacteria; Bacillati; Bacillota; Bacilli; Caryophanales; Bacillaceae. The record is from RNAcentral.